AUGUCGAGGGCUAAAUCUACAGAGGGAUUGGGGUGCCUUGAUAGCAAUAAUACUCCAGCCCUCUGCAUGAAGCCUGGGAAGAGCAAGCACAUCAGAACGAGGAUGGGGGAUGCCCCAGGUAGUCUCAAAUCUUGCUGUAAAAUUGCACUUAACCUCCAAAACCAGACUGUGGCUUGGGUCUCCCAGUGCUUUUUGCUGCUGUUUUGGCCUUCCAGGUGCCUUGUGCUUGUGAAUGCCUCCACCUGCAGCUUAUUUUUCUCACCUGGUGAGUUGAACUUGCCACAGCAUGUAAGCCCCUUGCAGAGGCUUAGGUGGUUGCUGAAGGAGGUGUGGAUGGUUGUGUGCUGGCUGGAGCAAGGAGCACCUCUUGGUGGGGCCUUUCUUCCUGUUGGGUUAGUGCACUGUGUCCCAGGCAGCAGCCAGCCUUGCGAGGAGGCUUGAACCUGUGCCAUGGAGCUGAUGGGGACAUCCAGAGAUCCCUACAUCUAAGGGUGCUACCAGCCCUUGGGGAGUUGAUUUUUUCACCUGCUGCCUCGCAUGAUGAUGAACGUGAGGUAUCUGAACUCCAGAGCGUGGCUCAGGCUGCGGUUUCUGUAACACAAACCUCUCUGUUUCUACAAUUUGCUAUCACAAAAGGGUAAAUGUUUCCCACUGAGAUGUUAAAGAAACCAUUAACUCCGUUGGGUGUUUGUGCUCUUUGUUGUGACUGCACCUUCGCUCUGACAUGAUAGCAGCACAUUGUUAUUUCCUGCCCAAAGAGGACUGAAUCUGAGCAGUGCUGCCGUCUCCUAUGCUGUGAGCACGUGUCUGAUCAAAGCUGUGCAGUGGGAAGUUUCUGGCUCUCCUUUACAAGCAAAACACUGCUGCUGAAGUCAGAUCCAGCUUGUUUGAAAGAAUUGCUCGGCCACACUUAAGAAGGUGCUUGGUGGCCCUUGGGUGCCUAGGCCAAACAGCAGGUCAAAGAUCAGAGCUUCCACUGCUGGUCUGGCCUCCAGCUAUCCAGGGAAAGGAACUGGCAAUGCUCUGUCAGAAACCAGGGAAGCUCAGUUUCCCCCUCCUAUCCUUCCACAGCUUACUUUCCAGGGAUUUCAGCCAUUUCCUUCACAAGGUGUCUCCUUGCAAUGGAGGUGCCAGUGAACACAAAUGUGCCUGCAUACCUGUGCUUUGUGAUAUACCAGUUUGUCUGCUGCUGAACUCUAGAAGUCGCACCAAAAUGCGCAUUCAUCUUCUGUCUUGUUUUGUAACGUGUGGAAUGUUGCGUCUUAGGCACUUGCUUCUGAACAACUAUAAUAACAGUGGUCUCGCCAAAGAAAUAAUUGAUAUUUGUUUGGGGAUGACUGAGACUCUCUUGCUUGUUGCUUUAUUUGUGUGGGCUUAAAUCCAAACAGUUCUGAUUGGGGAAAAAGUGAUGAUGUUCUUAGCGAGUCAAUAUUUCCAAACGGCUUCAAGGGGGAAAAGGUUGGAGGGUAUUAAUAUCCAGAGCAAUGGCUUCUUAGUCUCUCUUCUCUUCAGCUGACCUAAAGUAGAGAUAUAUUCUUGUUAUCCAUGACUACCUGGUAGGGUAGGAUGACAUCUCGUCAUUGUUUGUGUCUGCAGCUCACUGCCAUCUUUGUCUGUAGCAGCAAUGUGUUCUGGGGUGCCGAAUAUUUUCAGAUAUUCCUUAGUAAAAGCAAUGAAUUCAUAUUUAAUGAAGCCUAAGUGUCAGGGAGAGGCAUUUCAAUUAUACUUCUGACUAAAAUAAUAUUUCAGAACAUACAGAGAGCAGCAAGAAAUAAUUGUACAUUCCUUAUUUAUAUGGUAACUAAUAAUGGGAAAUAUUUUUUUCUUCCAUAACUUGACUUGGUCUCAUGAAACCAAUUUUCUUCAUUUUUCUGUGGAUUGUGGUUUCAGCUGCUGCUUUUUUUCUGAGAUGGAAAUCUGUUAAUGAGAGAUUUUUCUUCUUCAGUUCAAUUACUUCUAGUAAAUUCAGAGCAGAGUGACAGGACUUCAAUUUGAGCCGAAUUUCCUAAUGUUCUGCUCUGUGUGCAAAGCAGAAAAAUUUGUUUGUCAGAUAAUGGAUCGCUCAUUACAAGAAUCACUAAGACAAAAUAAAUAUUGCUUUUAAGAUGUCCUCA
This 2114-nucleotide long non-coding RNA is filed under the name Numida meleagris (helmeted guineafowl). RNAcentral's name for it is "lncRNA (ENSNMEG00000014030.1)". The record is from RNAcentral. Lineage: Eukaryota; Metazoa; Chordata; Aves; Galliformes; Numididae.